This 693-nucleotide long non-coding RNA is filed under the name Triticum aestivum (bread wheat). Its description in RNAcentral is "long non-coding RNA (TAES_LNC018713)". The record is from RNAcentral. Lineage: Eukaryota; Viridiplantae; Streptophyta; Magnoliopsida; Poales; Poaceae.
AAGGGUAGUUCUAUGGCGUGAUGGAUUCAGACUGAUGCCAACCAUAGACAUGUCUACCGGAUCCCAAUCAAAGUUGCGCCUCUGUCGCCAAGGUAGGAGCAGAAGGAUGAGGUGGUUCCCGUAGUAUAUCUGUCCAGAUAUUUAAGUCUGUAUUGUUGACCUGAACGCAUAUGUGUGUUUUUUAGUGGAACAGAUGCAUACUUACUGUAAAUGCAGGAGGUCGUUCCCAACUUCCCAUCGUAUAUUUGUAUAGAUCUUUGCUGUACGGGCCUAAUAUGUACUGUAAAUGCACCUUAACUACUUUUAAAUUUUUUUACUGAUUGUUAUGUGGCUCGUGGUCAUGUACAAAGUCUAACAUGUAUGGAUGUGCAGAUUGAAAAGUUCAUCAGAAUAUUGCACGGGAGGUUCUAUCAUCCACCAUCCAGAUUUUUUGUACGUUUGUUUGUUCAAAUUUUCUUUCUUUUAAGUUUAUAUACAGCGAUUUAAUUUGUAGUUCAACUUAUUUUGCAGAGAGUUUGGUUGGUCUGCUUGGAUAGGGGUUUAGGAGGUGCUUUCAGGUAGAGCUAAAGACUUUGUAAUGUGCAAUUUAGCACCUUCAUAGUAGUAUUUGUAAGAUUUUUUAUGAUAAAAAAUAAUGUAUUUUCGAAAGAUUUAUGACUGAAGUUUUCCUUUCAUUUUGGUUACACAUUCUUU